Molecule: ribosomal RNA, 484 nt
Filed under: uncultured bacterium
Lineage: Bacteria
Description: partial 16S ribosomal RNA
Rfam family: Bacterial small subunit ribosomal RNA
Source: RNAcentral
AUUGAACGCUGGCGGCAUGCUUUACACAUGCAAGUCGAACGGCAGCGCGGGCUUCGGCCUGGCGGCGAGUGGCGAACGGGUGAGUAAUGCAUCGGAACGUGCCCAGUAGUGGGGGAUAGCCCGGCGAAAGCCGGAUUAAUACCGCAUACGACCUGGGGGUGAAAGCGGGGGACCGAAAGGCCUCGCGCUAUUGGAGCGGCCGAUGUCGGAUUAGCUAGUUGGUGGGGUAAAGGCUUACCAAGGGGACGAUCCGUAGCUGGUCUGAGAGGACGACCAGCCACACUGGGACUGAGACACGGCCCAGACUCCUACGGGAGGCAGCAGUGGGGAAUUUUGGACAAUGGGGGCAACCCUGAUCCAGCCAUGCCGCGUGCGGGAAGAAGGCCUUCGGGUUGUAAACCGCUUUUGUUCGGGAAGAAAUCCUCUGGGCUAAUACCCCGGGGGGAUGACGGUACCGGAAGAAUAAGCACCGGCUAACUCCGUG